UCUAAUAUUUUAAUACAAUUUAGGUUCCAAAAACCAAAAGAUGGGUUAUAGGGAGUUUUACAGAUACAAACGAAUUCAGUGUUAUACCAACACAUUGGUUGAUUAGGACAUCAAGUCUAGCUAGAUGGCCGGACUAUUAUUUAUUGUAAAUGGCCACCACCACCGACUACUGUUACUAGUGACAUCAUUAAUAUAGCAAGUGAACCUCAGAUUGAUUGGCCAAGCUAUAAGAUUCAUUUGGCAAAUAAUGGUAAAGAAUUUACUAAUUUCAAGAAAGCAUGGCAUCACAAAUUGGUUUUGAGCUCAGACUCAUCUGCGAACGAAGUCGAUGAAUUAAAAAAUAAAAAGCCAUGUAGUCAAGCUCAAAAAUCUAAUUUUAAUAAGGAUUCAGAUUCUUUUGAAUCUGAAGAAGAAGUAUAUAAUAUAUUGGUGCUGCAGGGUGUAGAGAAGAAUACACACAAAAUAUUAUCUACUGCCAACUCCAAUC
Molecule: long non-coding RNA, 487 nt
Organism: Rhopalosiphum padi (bird cherry-oat aphid)
Lineage: Eukaryota; Metazoa; Arthropoda; Insecta; Hemiptera; Aphididae
Exons: 3
Source: RefSeq, a predicted model, not a curated record